AUGAAGCCUGUCCUUGCAGAGCCCCUCUGUUUUGGGGGAACAGGGAGCAUGCACAGGGUCUUGGGAGCAAAGGCCUGGGCCUCCCUGAUGUUUCAAAGGCUCCACAGCUCCACCUGGCUUCACUCCAGCACCAUGUCCCUGGAGCACCUCUGUCCUGUCUGGGCCAACCUGGUCUCCCUGCCCCAUGCCCUCCCCUGGCUCUUACCAACCUGCCCUUUUAUUCAUGCCAUUUGGGGUCACAGAUGGCCUAGCUGGACACAGCUCCCAGAACCGGCUCCACCCUGGGGCCUUACCCCUAGUACCCUCUGGCAGGAGCAACCCACCCCAUGGUCGAGGUUCCCCUACCCCUGGAUCCUGGACUGAAGCCAUUUCCUACAGAGAAGCAUUCCCACCCCCUCUCAGGCACAAAAGCCGGUGUCCAGGGGCUCAAGACCUGUACCUGGGGUUGCAGGGGCUCCUGCCCUGCUGUAUCCCACCGGGAGGGGGCCCCACUGCCCUUCCAGCCCUUAAAACUGGGCUGGGAGAGAAGAUGGGGAAGUGUGUGAGACAAAACAAAGCCGGCUUGUUUCCUCCCCUUGGCAGGCCAAGCUCUCCCGGCAGCCUGGGCUCUGGGGCGGAAGGAGAACAGUGUCAUCUCUUCCUUUGUUGAUAAAUGGCCAAAGAGUGGGAGCAGGUGGGGUCAGGGGCCAGAGUGCAGGGAAGAGGGCAAUGGUGGAGGUGGCGGGGGAGGGGGGGAAGCAGAGGGAGGUGGGCUGAGGCCUGGGUGAGGCCAGUGUGAUGCUGGCUUAAGGAGCUGGAGGGGUUCCUAAUACACAUUUAAUUCAGUUUCUCUUCCCUAAGAGGCUGCUGGAGUUGGGCCUCCUCCAGCAGAGACCCUCUGACCCCUGCAGGGCCUGGACUUGGGGCGAACAGGGCUUCAGUCAGUGCAAGUAUUCCAUUUGCAUUUGGUAAUUUUUAAUGUCACCUAUUUAUGAAUAUAUAAAUCUUUAUACCAAAUCUAUUUUUUAAAACAUGGAAAAGUUGCCUUUAUGGAAACUUGGCAGAGCCAGAGUGUACACAUUCCUAAACCAUUAAACAGUUUUCUAUAACAAACAA
RNAcentral lists this long non-coding RNA (1095 nucleotides) under Pongo abelii (Sumatran orangutan). RNAcentral's name for it is "lincRNA". Lineage: Eukaryota; Metazoa; Chordata; Mammalia; Primates; Hominidae. The record is from RNAcentral.